RNAcentral lists this ribosomal RNA (497 nucleotides) under uncultured bacterium. Its description in RNAcentral is "partial 16S ribosomal RNA". It matches the Rfam family "Bacterial small subunit ribosomal RNA", at positions 28 to 507 of the family's 1533-position model. The record is from RNAcentral.
GAUGAACGCUGGCGGCGUGCCUAAUACAUGCAAGUCGAGCGAACGGACGAGAAGCUUGCUUCUCUGAUGUUAGCGGCGGACGGGUGAGUAACACGUGGAUAACCUACCUAUAAGACUGGGAUAACUUCGGGAAACCGGAGCUAAUACCGGAUAAUAUUUUGAACCGCAUGGUUCAAAAGUGAAAGACGGUCUUGCUGUCACUUAUAGAUGGAUCCGCGCUGCAUUAGCUAGUUGGUAAGGUAACGGCCUACCAAGGCAACGAUGCAUAGCCGACCUGAGAGGGUGAUCGGCCACACUGGAACUGAGACACGGUCCAGACUCCUACGGGAGGCAGCAGUAGGGAAUCUUGCGCAAUGGGCGAAAGCCUGACGGAGCAACGCCGCGUGAGUGAUGAAGGUCUUCGGAUCGUAAAACUCUGUUAUUAGGGAAGAACAUAUGUGGAAGUAACUGUGCACAUCUUGACGGUACCUAAUCAGAAAGCCACGGCUAACUACGUG